UUAAAAAGCUCGUAGUUGGAUUUCUGGGAAGGCGUUAAUGCUAGCUUCUUGCUUUCGCAACGGCACCUUUCCAUCCUUCUGUUAGCGCCUCUUGGCAUUCAUUUGCUGGUGGCGGGCUCAGACAUUUUACCUUGAGAAAAUUAGAGUGUUUCAGGCAGGCUACGCCGGAAUACAUUAGCAUGGAAUAAUGGAAUAGGACUGAGGUCUCUUUGUUGGUUUGAGGGACUCCAGUAAUGAUUAAUAGGGACAGUUGGGGGCAUUAGUAUUUAUUAGUCAGAGGUGGAAUUCUAUGAUUUGAUAAAGACUAACUUAUGCGAAAGCAUUUGGCCAAGGAUGUUUUCCAUUAAAUCCAAGAACGAAAAGUUAGGGGAUUCAAAGACCGAUCAGAUACCGUCCUAGUCUUAACCAUAAACUAUGCCGACUCGGGAUUGGGAGUGAGAACUAUCCGCCUCUCAGCACCGUACGAGA
RNAcentral lists this ribosomal RNA (468 nucleotides) under uncultured eukaryote. RNAcentral describes it as "SSU rRNA". It matches the Rfam family "Eukaryotic small subunit ribosomal RNA", at positions 619 to 1095 of the family's 1831-position model. The record is from RNAcentral.